CCACCAACGCAGGCUCGAAGUUUUCUUCGGGUUGACGGUAGGUGGGGAAUAAGGACCGGCUAACUACGUGCCAGCAGCCGCGGUAAUACGUAGGGUCCGAGCGUUGUCCGGAAUUAUUGGGCGUAAAGAGCUCGUAGGCGGCGUGUCGCGUCUGCUGUGAAAGACCGGGGCUUAACUCCGGUUCUGCAGUGGAUACGGGCAUGCUAGAGGUAGGUAGGGGAGACUGGAAUUCCUGGUGUAGCGGUGAAAUGCGCAGAUAUCAGGAGGAACACCGGUGGCGAAGGCGGGUCUCUGGGCCUUACCUGACGCUGAGGAGCGAAAGCAUGGGGAGCGAACAGGAUUAGAUACCCUGGUAGUCCAUGCCGUAAACGUUGGGCGCUAGGUGUGGGGACUUUCCACGGUUUCCGCGCCGUAGCUAACGCAUUAAGCGCCCCGCCUGGGGAGUACGGCCGCAAGGCUAAAACUCAAAGGAAUUGACGGGGGCCCGCACAAGCGGCGGAGCAUGUUGCUUAAUUCGACGCAACGCGAAGAACCUUACCAAGGUUUGACAUCACCCGUGGACUCGCAGAGAUGUGAGGUCAUUUAGUUGGCGGGUGACAGGUGGUGCAUGGCUGUCGUCAGCUCGUGUCGUGAGAUGUUGGGUUAAGUCCCGCAACGAGCGCAACCCUUGUUCCAUGUUGCCAGCACGUAAUGGUGGGGACUCAUGGGAGACUGCCGGGGUCAACUCGGAGGAAGGUGGGGAUGACGUCAAGUCAUCAUGCCCCUUAUGUCUUGGGCUGCAAACAUGCUACAAUGGCCGGUACAAUGGGCGUGCGAUACCGUAAGGUGGAGCGAAUCCCUAAAAGCCGGUCUCAGUUCGGAUUGGGGUCUGCAACUCGACCCCAUGAAGGUGGAGUCGCUAGUAAUCGCGGAUCAGCAACGCCGCGGUGAAUACGUUCCCGGGCCUUGUACACACCGCCCGUCACGUCAUGAAAGUCGGCAACACCCGAAA
RNAcentral lists this ribosomal RNA (991 nucleotides) under Nocardiopsis sp. RNAcentral describes it as "bacterial SSU rRNA". It matches the Rfam family "Bacterial small subunit ribosomal RNA", at positions 439 to 1426 of the family's 1533-position model. The record is from RNAcentral. Lineage: Bacteria; Bacillati; Actinomycetota; Actinomycetes; Streptosporangiales; Nocardiopsidaceae.